CACUUUCAUGAGGUGAGCUUUUGUUUAUUUUUUCACAACACCUGGUCCAAGUAUGAUGAUCAUCAAUCCUGCAUUCUAUAUGGUCUAUUGAAGAUAUGGCAUUUGACUAUAGUAUUCUUGAACACACACAAAAAGCUAUGGAAGAGCCAGGUGGAAGAAAAGUCUUUGCUGUCUAGCAUUUCUAGUUGGAUUAUGAAUCUUCCAUUUGAUACAGAAGUUAAGGAAUGGUUGGCUGCAGAAGAAAGAGACAAGCAAGGCAUACAGAUGAAAAAUAUUCUCCCAACUGUAGUAGACAAGUUUCUCAAAUUGGGUUGUCACAAUUGUAAUACUUUUGAUUUGUUUCGGAUAAACUGUAUAGAAAUAGCACGUUGUAUGGAGUAUAUUGUUAUUGAAUAGAUCAAUUGUAAUGGUACUUGUCCUAUGUUUUGGUCAUGAUGUACAAAAAGGAUAUAUGUAGGUUCAGUAAAUUAACCUUUGUAAUGAAAAUAGCUUGUACACAUCUCAUGAAUGAAAACUAUAUAUCAAGUACUGGAAAAACUUAUAAGUGCAAGAAAUAUAUCAGGUAUUGUCGAACCUUAAAAA
Long non-coding RNA from Carya illinoinensis, 582 nucleotides. RefSeq lists it as uncharacterized. The record is from RefSeq and is a predicted model, not a curated record. The transcript has 2 exons. Lineage: Eukaryota; Viridiplantae; Streptophyta; Magnoliopsida; Fagales; Juglandaceae.